RNAcentral lists this ribosomal RNA (497 nucleotides) under uncultured bacterium. RNAcentral describes it as "partial 16S ribosomal RNA". It matches the Rfam family "Bacterial small subunit ribosomal RNA", at positions 28 to 507 of the family's 1533-position model. The record is from RNAcentral.
GAUGAACGCUGGCGGCGUGCCUAAUACAUGCAAGUCGAGCGAACGGACGAGAAGCUUGCUUCUCUGAUGUUAGCGGCGGACGGGUGAGUAACACGUGGAUAACCUACCUAUAAGACGGGGAUAACUUCGGGAAACCGGAGCUAAUACCGGAUGAUAUUUUGAACCGCAUGGUUCAAAAGUGAAAGACGGUCUUGCUGUCACUUAUAGAUGGAUCCGCGCUGCAUUAGCUAGUUGGUAAGGUAACGGCUUACCAAGGCAACGAUGCAUAGCCGACCUGAGAGAGUGAUCGGCCGCACGGGAGCGGGGCCGCGGACCCGGGUCCUGCGACAGGCAGCAGUAGCGUACGUGCCGCAGUGGGCGAAAACCUGACGGAGCAGGCCAGCGUCUGAGAUGACGGUCUUCGGUGCGUGACGCUGUGUUAUGAGGGAAGAACAUAUGUGUAAGGAAAUGUACAGAUCUUGACGGUACCUACUCAGAAAGCGCCGGCUAACUACGUG